Molecule: small nuclear RNA, 106 nt
Organism: Cercocebus atys (sooty mangabey)
Lineage: Eukaryota; Metazoa; Chordata; Mammalia; Primates; Cercopithecidae
Source: Ensembl
GUGCUUGCUUUGGCAACACAAACACUAAAAUUGGAACAGUGCAGAGAUUAGCACAUGGCUCCUGUACAAAGAUGUCACACAAGUUCAUGAAGCAUAAAAAAGAAAG